UAGGCUAGCGACGCCACGGCUCUCCGCCUCCUGAGAUGGACUGGGCGACCUAGGAGAGGACUGGGCGUGCGUCAGGAAAGCAUGAGAUGGGUGAAAGUAUUGUGGUUUUUAAAAGGUGGUGAUCUAAAAAUGAGGAUUUGUGCUGGAGUCUGGCUUCGUGACCAGAAUAAGAUGAAGUUUGAAUCUGUGGAGAGGAGAAUAUUGAAUUUUCAAAAACUUGUUUCCAGGAAGGAACGUUGGAUGAAGUAUGAUUUAUCAACAGUAAAAUAGCUCAAAGGGAACAGAUUGAAGCAUAAAACAAAGAGGAACCUCCCUGGUGGUUCAGUGGAUGAGAAUCCGCCUGCCUAUGCAGGGGCAUGGGUUCAAUCCCUGGUCUGGGAAGAUUCCACAUGACAUGGAGCAACUAAGCCGGUGCUCCACAACUACCAAGCCAGCGCUCUUGGGCCCUCAAGCUCCAACUACUGAAGCCUGUAUGCCUAGAUCCUGUGCUCCAGAACAAGAGAAGCCACUAUAAUGUGAAG
Molecule: long non-coding RNA, 521 nt
Organism: Odocoileus virginianus texanus
Lineage: Eukaryota; Metazoa; Chordata; Mammalia; Artiodactyla; Cervidae
Source: RefSeq, a predicted model, not a curated record